RNAcentral lists this ribosomal RNA (859 nucleotides) under Cronobacter sakazakii. RNAcentral's name for it is "partial 23S ribosomal RNA". It matches the Rfam family "Bacterial large subunit ribosomal RNA", at positions 890 to 1749 of the family's 2925-position model. Lineage: Bacteria; Pseudomonadati; Pseudomonadota; Gammaproteobacteria; Enterobacterales; Enterobacteriaceae. The record is from RNAcentral.
UCAUCUCCGGGGGUAGAGCACUGUUUCGGCUAGGGGGCCAUCCCGGCUUACCAACCCGAUGCAAACUGCGAAUACCGGAGAAUGUUAUCACGGGAGACACACGGCGGGUGCUAACGUCCGUCGUGAAGAGGGAAACAACCCAGACCGCCAGCUAAGGUCCCAAAGUCAUGGUUAAGUGGGAAACGAUGUGGGAAGGCCCAGACAGCCAGGAUGUUGGCUUAGAAGCAGCCAUCAUUUAAAGAAAGCGUAAUAGCUCACUGGUCGAGUCGGCCUGCGCGGAAGAUGUAACGGGGCUAAACCAUGCACCGAAGCUGCGGCAGCGACACUAUGUGUUGUUGGGUAGGGGAGCGUUCUGUAAGCCUGUGAAGGUGUGCUGUGAGGCAUGCUGGAGGUAUCAGAAGUGCGAAUGCUGACAUAAGUAACGAUAAAGCGGGUGAAAAGCCCGCUCGCCGGAAGACCAAGGGUUCCUGUCCAACGUUAAUCGGGGCAGGGUGAGUCGACCCCUAAGGCGAGGCCGAAAGGCGUAGUCGAUGGGAAACAGGUUAAUAUUCCUGUACUUGGUGUUACUGCGAAGGGGGGACGGAGAAGGCUAUGUCGGCCGGGCGACGGUUGUCCCGGUUUAAGCGUGUAGGCUGACUUUCCAGGCAAAUCCGGAAGGUUAAGGCUGAGGCGUGAUGACGAGGCACCACGGUGCUGAAGUGACAAAUGCCCUGCUUCCAGGAAAAGCCUCUAAGCAUCAGGUAACAUUAAAUCGUACCCCAAACCGACACAGGUGGUCAGGUAGAGAAUACCAAGGCGCUUGAGAGAACUCGGGUGAAGGAACUAGGCAAAAUGGUGCCGUAACUUCGGGAGAAGGCAC